RNAcentral lists this ribosomal RNA (422 nucleotides) under uncultured bacterium. RNAcentral describes it as "bacterial SSU rRNA". It matches the Rfam family "Bacterial small subunit ribosomal RNA", at positions 8 to 431 of the family's 1533-position model. The record is from RNAcentral.
AGAGUUUGAUCCUGGCUCAGAUUGAACGCUGGCGGCAUGCCUUACACAUGCAAGUCGAACGGCAGCACGGGAGCAAUCCUGGUGGCGAGUGGCGAACGGGUGAGUAAUAUAUCGGAACGUGCCCAGUCGUGGGGGAUAACGCAGCGAAAGCUGUGCUAAUACCGCAUACGAUCUCUGGAUGAAAGCGGGGGACUCGCAAGGGCCUCGCGCGAUUGGAGCGGCCGAUAUCAGAUUAGCUAGUUGGUGGGUAAAAGCCCACCAAGGCGACGAUCUGUAGCUGGUCUGAGAGGACGACCAGCCACACUGGAACUGAGACACGGUCCAGACUCCUACGGGAGGCAGCAGUGGGGUAUUUUGGUCGAUGGGCGCAAGCCUGAUCCAGCAAUGCCGCGUGCAGGAUGAAGGCCUUCGGGUUGUAAACU